RNAcentral lists this ribosomal RNA (184 nucleotides) under uncultured soil bacterium. Its description in RNAcentral is "partial 16S ribosomal RNA". It matches the Rfam family "Bacterial small subunit ribosomal RNA", at positions 329 to 505 of the family's 1533-position model. The record is from RNAcentral.
GUCCAGACUCCUACGGGAGGCAGCAGUGGGGAAUAUUGGACAAUGGGCGAAAGCCUGAUCCAGCCAUGCCGCGUGUGUGAUGAAGGUCUUCGGAUUGUAAACCUCUUUAAGUUGGGAGGAAGGGCACUGAGCUAAUACCUUGCUGUUUUGACGUUACCGACACAAUAAGCACCGGCUAACUCUG